RNAcentral lists this long non-coding RNA (684 nucleotides) under Malus domestica (apple). RNAcentral describes it as "long non-coding RNA (MDOM_LNC018325)". The record is from RNAcentral. Lineage: Eukaryota; Viridiplantae; Streptophyta; Magnoliopsida; Rosales; Rosaceae.
CCAAAAGGAAACUAUGACCACAACAAUUGGGCCAUAAUGCAAAUACAAAAACUUUUGGGGUCACUUUGAAAAAAACACAAAAGUCCACAACUUCAUGUAAUUUCAACUAGAACCCAAAAUUUUAUUAAUGUAAAAACAUCAUUAAAGGAUCAAAACAAUUUGUCCUUUAGAGUUUUUAAGCCUAAACGUAAAAACGUAAACUUUUGGGCCAAAAUGCAAAAAACACAAAAUUUUCACAACUUUAUGUAAUUGCACAAAAGGCCCCAAAAGUACCCCACUUGUUGGGGUGGCCGGGCAAGGAGGUGUGUGAACAAGUGUGAAAGGGUUUUAGUGCAUGCAUGUGCAAUAUGCAAGUUGAUUUUGGUGUGUGAGGUAAAGGUGAAGUUGAUGGUUUGUAAGAAAAUGUUUUGUGUCAAACAUUAAAGAUAUUUGUCUAACAUUAAAACCAAAAUAAAUGCUUCACCAAUAUCCAUCACCCAUCAAAAUUAAACUAAAACUUUAUGAAAAACAUAAAACUUUUGAAUCAAAACUUCAAACCUUUUUGUUCUUGGCAAGAACUUCAAGAACAUGUUGGAAAUGUGCCCUAAAACCAAUCAUAUGAUGAUACUUUACGAACAUUUCACAUGUUAAACUAAUCUAGUUUAAUAUAAAGGGCAAAGAUUAUUGUUUGAGCCGUCUCAUAUA